Molecule: long non-coding RNA, 6761 nt
Organism: Amphiprion ocellaris (clown anemonefish)
Lineage: Eukaryota; Metazoa; Chordata; Actinopteri; Pomacentridae
Exons: 4
Source: RefSeq, a predicted model, not a curated record
UGCAGGAUCCCCACACAUCCCACCUCGCUCUGGUAGCAGCCUCCCCAUCAUCCUUUUCACCUGCCACUCAGUGCCUCUCUCAAUUAAAUGGGCCACUAAGCACUAGUGUUCAUCUCCGAGGAGAGAUUUUCUUCGACGGGAGCGGCUGUGCAUUCGCAGGGCCGAGCCAUACAGCAAAGUUGCAUCGGUACGCUCCAGCACGCAUGUGUUUGUUGAUGUGUGUGUAGUAGACGGAGAGAGAAGGAAGCAUUUGGGUAUUCAAGGAAGCCAGCCCACUGGGGAGCUGCAGCGGGCAAAGCAGCAAUGCUCUCUUCAAAGUGUGAGUUGAACGCUGCCCUCGAAUCGAAAGGCUCUCUCCCUCCAAACGCCUCCUCAGUCCAGCCUCUGAUGUAACAGGAGGUUGUGAAUUCAUCCUUCGGGGUCAGACUGUCAACGGCGAGUUCACCUGCCACGUCUUGAGGCAUCUGAAAAACAACAUUUGGUGCAGAUGACCUGAACUGUGGCACAUGUCGUCAUGCCAACAAAAGCACAGUGUGCUGAAAACAAAGAAGUUUUUUGGCUGCAGCAACACAACUGUUGUUCUCCACCUGCGCUAUUCAUCAGAUUUGGCUUCUUCCUCUUCCCUAAAUUGAAAUGAAAGUUGAAGAGUUGCCAUUUUGACACAGUGGAGGAAAUCCAGCAUGCAUUCCAGGUGGUGCUUGACAAGCUCACACAACAGGACAGGAGUGAUCAGAGCGUGGCUGGAGCACUGGGAACGAUGUGUUGCCGUACAAGGACACUGCUUUAACAGGAGGAAAGUUAAAAUCUGGUACAGUUUUUGCUUUUUAUAAACUUGUAGAUUUCACCUUGUGUUUUUUAACCUGUUUUCGUAGAUUCAUGUCUUCAGAAAGACGGAACGUCUGGGCAGAGAGUCACCGAUGAGACAGUGAGAAGAGUUGCUGGUCAACCAAAAGUACCCCAAGAGCACAGCGACGACUCAUCCAGGAGGCCACAAAAGAACCCAGGACAACAUCUGAAGGACUGCAGGUCUCCCUAGCCUCAGUCAAGGUCAGUGUUCAUGACUCAAGGGUAAGGAAGAGACUGGGCAAAAAUGCCAUCCAUGGAAUAGUUCCAAGUCAAAUACCACUGAUGACCAAGAAGAAAAUAAAGACUUGUCUUGCUUUUGUAAGCAAACAUCUGAAUGAACCCCAAAAGUUUUGGGAGAAUUUUGUAUGGACAGAUGAGACGGAAGUUGAACUUUUUGGAAGGAGUGUGUCCCGUUACAUCUGGUAUAAAAGUAACAGCAUUUCAGAAAAAGAACUUCAUACAAACAUGGCGGUGGUAGUGUGAUGGUCUGGGGCUGCUUUGCUGUUUCAGGACCCAGUCGACUUGCUGUGAUUGAUGGAACCAUGAAUUCUGCUCUCUACCAAAAAAUCCUGAAGGAGAAUGUUCGGCCAUCAGUUCGUGACCUCAAGCUGAAGCACACUUGGGUUCUGCAGCAGGACAACGAUCCAAAACACACCAGCAAGUUGGUUUCUGAAUGGCUUCAAAAAAAAAACAAAAUGAAGGUUUUGGAGUGACCUAGUCAAAGUCCAGACCUGAAUCUGAUUGAAAUGCUGGCAGGACCUUAAAAAGGCCGUUCAUGCUUGAAAACCCUCCAGUGUUGCUGAAUUAAAACAGUUCUGCAAAGAAGAGUGGACCAAAAUAUCUCCACAGAGAUGUGAAAGACUCAUUGCCAGUUCUAGAAAACACUUGAUUGCAGUUGUUGCUGCUGAGGGUGGCCAAGCCAGUUAAUAGAUUUAGGAGGCAAUUACUUUUUCACACUGGGCCAGGUUGCUUUGAAUAGUUUUUUUUUCCUUGAUGAAUAGAAUCAUCAUUUAAAAACUGCAUCUUGUGUUUACUUGGAUUAUCUUUGUCUGAUAUUUACAAUUUUUUGAUGAUCUUAAACAUUAAAGUGGGGAAAAUAUGCAAAAAAAUAAGAACAUGAAAAGGGGGGAAAUACUUUUUCACGGCACUGUAUGUCACUCUGGGUGAAUGCAGUGGGCUGACAGGUUGUGACUGACUGAUCCACAUCGACACUACUAGAUUAUCACUAGCUGUUUUCUUUAAAUCCACUGAACAGAGAACGGUAAUAUCGCCAACUAAUUUCAUGUCCUGAUGAUGUUCAAUCAGAAAGAAAUGUAAAAUAUGUCUGACCAUAACUUCUGUUGCAAAAUUCUUGAGUCUGCAAAAAAUUGUAGCCAUUCAUCAUGAUGACUAAUGCCAUUAAUCACCACAAGUACGGACUUUAAUGUUAAUUAACAGGAAACACUUCCAGAGCUGAUCACUCAUAUACAUUCUCUGAAUUAUUAGUCAUUGUGCCGGAUCUUUCAUUCUCUCAUUAAUGGUCCUUCUCUUUAACAUCCUGUCUCUAUUUCCGCUGUGAUUAUUGGUCUUUUUCCGCAUUUGCAACAUCAUUUAUUCAAGAACAGACUCUCUUUCGAUUCGGUGAUAAACACGUGCUUUUUGUGUAAAAAGGUAAACCGUGUAAUUACGUCGUCCUGGUUCACUGUGAGGUCAAACACUCUCUCCUGCUGAUUUUAAUCCAACCAGCCUCUCUUUGUAGCUCUCUCUGCCGCUGUCUGUCGCUGUCCGUCCUUUUCUUUCUCUCUCAUUGUCUCUGUGUCCCCCAGGUUAUUCCUAUUAGACAUUAUUCAGCACGGAGUUGACUAAAACCUGCCUGUUGUGUGCUGAUACGGCCACAGAGAACCGCUCCAGCCUCUCCUCUCUGAUGUUACGCCAUGCACACACACAUACACACUCACAAUAAAUUCUCUUUAUAUUUAGAGCAGUAUGAUGUGUGCGUGUCCAGAAGCUGAGAGAGACAGAAAGAAUAGAAGCAUUAACAACUAAAUAAUUUUCUUUGCUUGGCUGGAGAACAAAGGAGCGGAAGCAUUUCAGUUGACAACGGGACAAAAACACAGAUUUUGAUUCGCCCAAAAAGAGGAUAGAAGUGCAUCCAGAGAGAGACGAAAGGGCCUCAGACAGUGAUGGAUGCACACAGGCGGUGGGCGACAGUGAAAAAUGAGAGGACGACAAUUGUUCUAGAGGUGACACGUACUGAUGAUGACGGCCGCAGAGCGAGGGAUAAACAAAAAGGAGGAUAUGGAGGGGUGCGUAAGAUGAACCUGAGCGCUCAGGUCAGCGGAAGUCAGGGUCACACUGUGGAGCUCAGCCAUCUGUGUGUGACAAACGUGAACACACAACCUGCAUACAACUUCAGAGGCACUAAAAACGACCGGCACAUGCAUAUGGUAAACAGGAAAGCAAAACAACAAGAGCUGAAUAAUCAGAUCCAUUUUGAUUACAGUGUUAAAAAGCUUCAAUUGAUUUUCAAGUCAGUUUGAUUUACGCAAAUGUGAGAGAAGAGAUGUAACUCCAGGCUGCGGUCCUUUUCAUAGCAGAUGAAAGAUGUCAAGCUUUCUAGAUGAUGCUAAGCAAAGCACAUCUGAUUUCUGGGAGGAAGAGAGAAAGUAAUGGACUAUGUUUUAGUGUUUGUGUUGCGUUUUGCAUUAAUUUGGGUCAACAUCAUUGACAGAUCCUUUUGAUGCAUGUGGAUCUAAAUGAAACCAGACUGAAAGCAUUAAAGGGGAACUUUAAAUUCAGUUUACAUGUCGAGGAAUGUGUCUGCAUAUGUUUAAAAACUGUAUAUGCGAGAAGUUGAAUAAAUGUCCUCAAGUGUUACUCGAGUCUGCGUCAGCUGGGGCGGAAACUGGAGUCAGGCCAAUGUUAUACUUUUCACAUUUGCAAGAUCCACUAGAGUCCACGUGAUGUGUAUUUGCCAUCUGCCCAAGUCUGCAAAAUCACACACAAAUUUCUCUGUGGACCUCUGAAUUCAGCCUAAGUUGUGUCUGUGUACCAACUAUGCUAUGAAGGCAGUAGUCUCUAUAUGUAGAUGUGCAUGUUUACUGUGCAUUCAUGUGAUGCAUCCUGAAGUGGACAAGAAAGUAGUAUAAUUUCUAACAACUGUGGACCAGUGCUGUUCACAGCCACGUAAUCAUGGCUUUAGAAAGAAGUGAGAUCCUCAUCUUUACUUGAGGACAGAGAUGCAUCAGCACCUACUAAUUGAGGUUUUCAGAUGUGCACUCCUUGUCAGAGUGAGCACCCUGGUCACUUUUCUGUGUAAGUUGCAACAACAAUCCUGUUAGGUUAUGCCGUCACAUUAGAGGAUAGGCCGUGUCUGUGUGUACAUUCAGUGUUCCUUUUCAGUUCCUUCCUGAUUUAUUUUGAAGUUACUCACCUUGUGUGUCUCUGGUACUUCCUCCCUUUGUGUGCUUUCCCUCCUUUUUUGAUUGUCUGUUUCCCUGCGCCUUCUUUGCUUAUUAUUUCUGUGUCUUGCCUUGUCUUUUGCCAGUUGGUGCUGUUGUUUAUCCUCGUGUUUCCCUUCCUGUUUCCUGCCCUUAUGUUCCUCGCUUGUGUCUUGGUUUGUGCAUUUAGUUUCUUUGGAUCUUGUUUCUCCUCUGGAUUACCUGCCUGAUUGCCACCUGUUUGUCUACUCGCUACAUGGAUCUUGUUCACCUGCCUGUCUGUUCAGGCCCCUGUGCCAUCAUGUUUCUUGGAUUAUGUUCCUUUGGAUUUCUUCUGUUAGGGACUUUUUUUUCUUGGGUUACUAGCCACCUUUUGUUUAUUCAUCCGUCUCUCUUGUUUAACUAAGUUUUUGAUUAAAAUUUCCUUUUUUAUUGCUACAACCUGCCCACCUCGUGUGUCUGCAUCUGAGUCUUUCUUUUGAGUUAAUUAAAUACCUGAAACACCAGACAGCGGCAGGAUCCAUAUGAGAGAGUUGCACACAUUUAUGCACGUGGACCAACAGCACUGGUAACUUUAAAUUCAAAUGGGAACAAGAACUUUUUCUACUCAUGUCACUACAAAAAUAUGUAUGACAAUGCAAAAAUGACAUUUUACAGUAAAAUUAUGUCGAGUCCAAUCUGACACAAGUGUGAAUAUUUAAGCAUUUUUUUUAAACAUGCAUUCGAGUGCUAAUUUAAGUACACACGUGUGCAAAUAUAAUCUAUACAUGUUUCUUUUUACCCUUGUAAAUGUUUGUAUAUGUAAAACAGAACACAUAAUGCAUUAGAGAGAAAAACUGUCACAGGAAGCGUCACCAUCUCCAACCUGCAACACACAUGAUUAUUCACAGGCCGAGCAGUGUGACGCAGGCUGUGAUAUUUGGGUCCAGCAGCAGCUGUUGUGUACCAUUCGCUCCACACAGAGCGUCACAUGGAGCCCAGCCUCCUGAGAAGAAAGAUGCAAAGGAAAUAAAAAUCCAUAUCUGCAGACCAUUUAACUUUUAAGUGACAGAUUGCAGUUGAAAGUAAAAUGUCUUUCACUGAUUGAACUUUCCCUUUGGCACUCGGGCCUUUAAUUCAAAUACCGCACCAAUAUACUUAAACCCUGUUAGUGCCAUAAACAUACAUCUCUGCACUUCCCCUACUCCAUUAAGUGAAGAAAUAUCCUUCAGAAAUAUGCAAAUAAACAGCAGAAGUGCUGAAGCAAUUAAGAAAGUGAAGUAUCUGGGCUUGAUCAGCUUGAUCAGUGCAGAGAUGAUGUACAUCUUAUUUAACGUGUCCAAGCUCAAUAAAGUACUCAUUAGCAGGUGAUGGAUAACAAAGCCCGUUCUUAACCGCCACAAGUACAUCUGCUUCUGUUAUGAGUCAUAAACAGCGCGGAUAUGACGUCCACGAGGCAGGCGAUCAAUCUUUCACUCAUUCCAACCCACUGAGGAAAACUAAAAGGCACGUUGCUGAAAUAGUGUGCCGGGCUGUCAACCUGUCAAAGUCACUGGUAAAAUAUACUAUGCUGCACUCCGACUACUGUGUGAAUGAUGAGGAACACAAUUGCAAAGUGGAAUUUGGCAGCCGAGUGAGGUUAGCCCUGAGUGACCUCCUUUUGCUGACUCUUUAGCUGCGAGAGAGCGCUGCUGGCCUGUGAGAGGACCACUACUGUAAUUGAACCAAAUGGAGGCAACAUCCAAGUCCUUAAGGAUUGCUGAUCAUGAACAAGGAAUGAUCUCCUGCAUCACAUCAGAGUGUCGCCAUGCCAGUUUAGAUGCACCGGGUAUCUUUGUCUUUGUUGUCUGUAAAGCACCGGAAAGCCAAACUUCAAUAGACUGUUGGUGUCAUGUGGCUGAGUGACUCACUGGGUUUAAUGAGGGUGUCUGUCAAAACAAAGGACUUUUCUUUUGAUGUCUGGUGGUCCUGUGUUCUGACAGCUAUAUCAAAGCCGCAUUAGGUUGUGGUGAGUUGAGGUUUGCUUUUCCUGUUUGAUCUGAAGUGAUUCAUCUUCACGUUAAAUCCGUGCAUCGGUGUAAUUCCACCAUCAAAAGUUCUCUUGUUGAAGUGCAUCUCUGAGAAACAAAACAUUUUCCCUUCGAGCUAGAACAAAGAGCGGCUUUGGAUUUGCUUGUGAUUGGUCAUCUCUAAGCUCCUGACCUGCCUGCUCAUCGCCCUGCUGCCAUCUGCUUCAGUCGUCCUAAUGAAGCACCGUCUCUUCUGAGGUCCUGGGAGACGCCACCUCCACACCGGCCUAAUCAGCUUCUGAAAGCAUCGGCCCCUCUGGCGGCAUCCGGUUCGAAGCUCGGCCACGACUCAGCCCAGAUCGCUCAUUUCAUCAACGCCCGGUGCCUAAUGAACUAUAGAGGAUGGAGGGCAGCGAGAGGAGAAGGAGGAGGAAACAAGGGAAAACUACGAGCACAGACCCUUUGUACUGAUAAAGAAACUCUUUCCCUAAUGAAAGUGGCUCUUUUG